Molecule: non-coding RNA, 75 nt
Organism: Cordylochernes scorpioides
Lineage: Eukaryota; Metazoa; Arthropoda; Arachnida; Pseudoscorpiones; Chernetidae
Source: the annotation of a GenBank genome assembly
GUCCAGGGGCGGGAAUCGAACCCACACCCUUCUGCUUACCCGGGCAGGUGGCCUUGUCCACUCGGCUACCCUGGA